This 446-nucleotide ribosomal RNA is filed under the name uncultured bacterium. RNAcentral's name for it is "bacterial SSU rRNA". It matches the Rfam family "Bacterial small subunit ribosomal RNA", at positions 330 to 793 of the family's 1533-position model. The record is from RNAcentral.
UCCAGACUCCUACGGGAGGCAGCAGUGGGGAAUAUUGCACAAUGGGGGAAACCCUGAUGCAGCGACGCCGCGUGAGUGAAGAAGUAAUUCGUUAUGUAAAGCCCUAUCAGCAGGAAAGAAAAUGACGGUACCUGACUAAGAAGCCCCGGCUAACUACGUGCCAGCAGCCGCGGUAAUACGUAGGGGGCAAGCGUUAUCCGGAUUUACUGGGUGUAAAGGGAGCGUAGACGGCAGUGCAAGUCCGGAGUGAAAGCCCGGGGCUCAACCCUGGGACUGCUCUGGAAACUGUAAAGCUGGAGUGCGGGAGGGGCAGGCGGAAUUCCUGGUGUAGCGGUGAAAUGCGUAGAUAUCAGGAGGAACACCGGCGGCGAAGGCGGCCUGCUGGACCGUAACUGACGUUGAGGCUCGAAAGCGUGGGGAGCAAACAGGAUUAGAUACCCGUGUAU